This is a long non-coding RNA of Coregonus clupeaformis (lake whitefish), 2024 nucleotides long. RefSeq lists it as uncharacterized. The transcript has 3 exons. NCBI's taxonomy places the organism in Eukaryota, Metazoa, Chordata, Actinopteri, Salmoniformes, Salmonidae. The record is from RefSeq and is a predicted model, not a curated record.
AAUAAGCUAUAAACGUGUGUGAGGUAGAAUGCCCCAUCACUAUCAGGCAAAUUACACUGUUUGCUGAAUUAUUUUUCCACAAGGUAAACUACAGCCAUUCAUGGCUGAUACUGGUCUGUAAUAAUCGUUGCUAUUAUGCAGUAUUUACUAUAAACAUAGUAUAUUACACUGAUGGCUGAAUUAUUCCCACAAGGAAAAGGUACAGCCAUUCACAUCUCCUCUCAUUGCAUCAAUGCUGCAUAACAUUUUGCGCAGCUACGCAACUAUACUGAAUGCAGGUAUGUACACAGGUGUUGCAGACGAUCGCAUGCGGUUGGACACAUGGAGAUAAUCAUUUUCGCAGUAUCCUCAAAACAGUGUCUUUUUGACACAACUGCUGACAGCUACCGGGACUUGGAGACAAGUGUCCACGAUAGUAGGAUUGCCAGAAGAAGACUGUAGGAGGAAGUGGAGAGGACUCAGGGACAGGUAUCAGAGAGCGAGAAGGGCAGAGAAAGAGAAGAAGAGGUCUGGGUCAGCAGCUUCAGGCCAGCGGCCUUGGCGCUUCUGCCACAUUCUUUCUUUUCUGGAUCCAUUUAUUGUGCCUAGGGCAACAAGUGGCAAUUUUACAGCUAGACCCUCUAUGUCAUCCACAAGUGUGACCACCGCCUCCACCAGUGCAGCGAGACCCUCUACGUCAUCUACAAGUGCGACCACCGGUGCAGCGAGACCCUCUACAACGUCUACGUCAUCCACAAGUAUGACCACCACCGGUGCAGCCAUGGAAGAGGAUGAAAUGGAGGAAGCACCUCAGGAUCUAGACCCAGUGAAAUUAUUAUGACCCUCACGGAAGUGACCACUGAGGACCUUGUUGAACAGGAUGUGGCCGUGGAGACAAACAAGGAGAGAAAGGAAGAGGAACAACGUCACACCAGGCAUCUUCCGAGGUACCAGCCCCCAGAUCCACUCAACUCAUUUCAGCAGAGGCUCCUCCAAGCCGUUGAGAGGGAUGCAGCCCAACCUGAUGCUCACAGGAAGGAGGAUGAAGAGACCCUCUUUGCCAUGAGCCUGGUGCCAACCCUGAAGAGGCUACCUCAGCAAAGAAAAGCAGCAGUCAAGAGAUGUAGUCAAUUUAGCCGACCAGCACACAGGAGGGACAGGAAGAGGAGAGGAGUUGUCUGGUUGUUGUUUUGACCUCCCUCAUUGUACCUUUCCUUUCACACACGUCAGUUCCGUUUAAAUUCAGUCAAUUCAUAAAGUAAUUUGUUUCUGAAGUCUUAGGAUAGCAUUCAUUAUUAGUGUUACAUGGAUUCCUGAAUUGACAGAAUUGAAACUCACACACCAGAGAAUUCACAGAUGCUCUUGUUGGUCUCUUACAAGUCUAAAGGUGAAUAUAUUUAUUUUAUUUAAAACCACUUGAAAACCAGGGUGUUUAAACUUUUUUUGAAGUUAUGUUCCAUCGACCGGUCCAUGACGUCCAGGGGCCAUUUGUUUGUUUAGCUGUGUUAUGGUUACACAUUCUUUUCUUUUUAUCUUUUUUUCAGACACACACACACACACACACACACACACACACUGCUCUUCUCCUCGAGGCACCUCACAUUUCCAGUGCCCUGCCAUUUUAUCUCCCUCUGCCUGAGGAGGCUGUUGAGAUGAAUGGUGGUGGCUAACCAUAUGGAUGGAGCAGAGGCAGAUAGAGGGGAGAAGGCAGGCAGACCGGUGAGGGGGUGGGCUGACUGACUGUAUUACUCUCUCUGUCCAUGGGAGAAUCUAAACUGUAUUUCCUUGACUCCUCACGCCCUCUCUCCUCGCCUCCUUCUCAAAGCCCAUUGGAGAAGGUCAGAGCAAGGGAAUGUCAGGUUCCUUCACACUGACCUUCUCCUCCAAUGGGUUUUGAGCGGGAGGUGAGGAGAGAGGAAUCAAGGAAAUGCAACUGAGAUUUUCCAACUGUCCUCAAUUGAGAUUUUCCAACUGUCCUUAUUCUGCUUAAUACAGUGGCUUGCGUAUUCACCCCCCUUGGCAUUUUUCCUAUUUUGUUGCCUCAC